UACGUAGGGUGCGAGCGUUAAUCGGAAUUACUGGGCGUAAAGCGUGCGCAGGCGGUUUUGUAAGUCAGAUGUGAAAGCCCCGGGCUCAGCCUGGGAAUUGCAUUUGAAACUGCAAGGCUAGAGUGUGUCAGAGGGGGGUAGAAUUCCACGUGUAGCAGUGAAAUGCGUAGAGAUGUGGAGGAAUACCGAUGGCGAAGGCAGCCCCCUGGGAUAACACUGACGCUCAUGCACGAAAGCGUGGGGAGCAAACAGG
This 253-nucleotide ribosomal RNA is filed under the name uncultured bacterium. RNAcentral describes it as "partial 16S ribosomal RNA". It matches the Rfam family "Bacterial small subunit ribosomal RNA", at positions 524 to 776 of the family's 1533-position model. The record is from RNAcentral.